Gossypium hirsutum (cotton) is the source of this 98-nucleotide non-coding RNA. Lineage: Eukaryota; Viridiplantae; Streptophyta; Magnoliopsida; Malvales; Malvaceae. The record is from Rfam.
UUUUAAAAAAUUCAUCUAUUUUUACUAUUAAAAAUUAGUGUGGCUAACAGAAUAAUCAUUUAGCUUUUUAAUAGUAGAAACGGAUGAAAUUUUUAAUA